RNAcentral lists this long non-coding RNA (1116 nucleotides) under Marmota monax (woodchuck). The record is from RNAcentral. Lineage: Eukaryota; Metazoa; Chordata; Mammalia; Rodentia; Sciuridae.
GAUCCUCUUGCCUUAGCAUCCUGAGCAGCUGGGACUACAGUUGAGCAUCACAUGUCCAGUUUUCUGGAUCCUGGGGUAGCAACUUACUAGGUUGGAGCCUAUAGGAGCAAGGCACCCAGGGACUUUCUUCUCAAAGACUUUCAAACAAGUUCACACUUUUACACCCCUUAGCCUAGGAUGGGCAGGGUUCACACUUUUACACCCUCAGCCUGGGAAAGGUAUCUUUCCUAUUUUCUUUGUAUAAAGUAUUUGGCUUCUUAAUGGUGCUAAUCUCUUCAGCAACCACAUUCUCCUUGGCCCCAUUUUUAACAGCACUCCUUUUCUGGUCAAAUUUUCAAAUUUACUCUGUUUUUUGCUCCUGAUCUCAAUGUAAAUCUGGUUAAAUGCAGUCAGCAAUACCCAUGCUACUGCCUGAAUACUGUGUUGCUUUGAAACUCCCUGUCAGAUUAAUUAGUCCAUCACCUUUAAGCUGCCUCACACAAACCUCAGGGCAUGGACAAAAUGUAGACAAGUUCUUUGUCAGAAUGUAAGGCAAAUUGUCUCUAAUCCAGUCCUAGUUUCCAUAUGAAAAUAAAUAUGGAUCAACACCCCCAGCAGCACUUUGGGUGUUAUAACUGAUGUGACAAUUUUUGUUAUUUAAACUCCUAAAAGAGUCCUAGUUUCCAUCUGAAACCACAGCAGCAGAGUUUUUAUUGUCUGUUUUCCUAUCGGCAUUCUGCUCUUUUGAACCCCCACCAGAAUUGCCCAUUAAGCUUUGCUUCUCAUUCUGAGGCUUCUCUAGCCUGCAUAUCUAAACUUCUUGGUACCAAUUUUCUGUUAGUCAGCUUUCUGUCACCAUGACCAGAUACCUAAGAAAAUCAACUUUGAGGAUGAAAUAUUUAUUUUGGCUCAGAGUUUCAGAAUUUUCAACCCAUGGUCACUUGGCUCCACUGAUUCUGGGCCUGUGUUGAGAAGGACAUGGUGGAACAAAGUAUUCACCUUAUGGCAACAAGGAAGGAGAGAGAGAAAUGAAGUGAGAGAAGGAGAGAGAAGAGGCUGGGGUUUCAAUGAAUGAUUCAAGGUCAUACCCCCUGUGACUUUCUUCCUCCAACUAGCCCUACCUCCUGAAGUUUCCAC